CUAGGUACUGGCUGGUGGUAUAGCAGUCAUACCACAGU
This 38-nucleotide small RNA is filed under the name Bombyx mori (domestic silkworm). RNAcentral describes it as "ovarian small RNA-14636". The record is from RNAcentral. Lineage: Eukaryota; Metazoa; Arthropoda; Insecta; Lepidoptera; Bombycidae.